GUCCAUAUCAAAGAAACUCGAAUAAAAAUAUAUGAGAUCUGACCAGUGGGACAUUCUUUUCCAUUUCAGGGAAUGAAGUGACACGGACCACCGGCAACCUCUCGAAGCAGAUCAUCUUAUUCGCCAAUGUCGUUAUUAUCAUCCUUCCUCCAGGAGCGUUUGAGAUGUAGACAUUAUGUUGAGGAUGCAGUUGGGUAACCCCU
Molecule: long non-coding RNA, 203 nt
Filed under: Olea europaea subsp. europaea
Lineage: Eukaryota; Viridiplantae; Streptophyta; Magnoliopsida; Lamiales; Oleaceae
Source: RNAcentral